Etheostoma spectabile (orangethroat darter) is the source of this 1775-nucleotide long non-coding RNA. RefSeq lists it as uncharacterized. The transcript is spliced from 2 exons. The record is from RefSeq and is a predicted model, not a curated record. NCBI's taxonomy places the organism in Eukaryota, Metazoa, Chordata, Actinopteri, Perciformes, Percidae.
CGCUGCACUAAUGGGAGCACACACACUGUGUUGCCAAUAGAAGCUGAUGUAUGGAGGUGAUUUAUUAUAUUGCAGUUGGCAUUUACAGUCUUGAAAGGCAAAAAUGAAUAAAUACGGACAAUGAGUCACUUUGUUUUGCAACUAAUACAAAUGCUCAACCCAUCAGCGUGUGUUUUCAGCACAUAAUGGUUUACAGUGUAUUGUGAUUUGACUACUCAAUUAUGGAUGUUUGCAGUUUUUAUACUGCCAGGAAUAUAUGUAAAACAGCAUUACCUUGCAGAAACACUAAGGCACCAUAUACAGUAAGUUAUGGAAAUGAUUAGCAUGGUGUCAAAGUGCUGUUUGGUUUUUCACAAAGGCGUCUGUGGCCGGCAUGAACACAGAGGAGAGCGGAGGAGUUGUGAGAGAGCGAUUCCUCCUGACCCUGCGGUUAAUGAAACCCUUCCUGUGCCUUUGUCAGUUUUAACUGGGAGAUUGUGUCAUACCGCACUGGAGCUGCCUGCAGUCGCCAUCCUACUUCCCUGAGCAGCAUACUGAGUUGUCAGUAUAAAAACAAUCCUCUGUUACUUGACUGCUAGCAUUCAGUUUGGUAGAUAUGUUUGUUGCAAUGCUGUCCCUCCUUUCAAACGCAGGCAGACAGAGAGUGAAAAAAUGUAUUUUUCUAUAACCAGUCUCCAGGAAAGUUUAAUCCAGCUCUAAAUAAAAAUAAAGAUAGAAAUAAAUCAUUCCGUUUUUUUUUUUAAAUAGGCCUCCCUCUUUUCUCGCGCGCACACAUAUCUGUUGGCACAUUACUAGGGAGCAAUUUCUGACUGGUGUGAAACACCUCUGAUAUUGUGUAAGCUGCCAAUAUAUUAAAAAAAAAUGUACAUGAAGUAUUUAUCAACCUGUCCCUCAUUAUUUCCACUGAACUGGAGAAUAAGCUGCCAGCCAAUGAAGCCUGAGAUAAUGCCUGGGUGUUAAAGCAAGCUAUCUAAGCUAGGUCUCUCCAUGACGUCAACGACUGUGAAGGGUUUUCAUGUAAAGCUUGCGGGCAGGUUUGGUGAAGAAUUGAACAGGUUUGCCAUAGCGAGAAUGCCAUCUUUUGACUGACAGGAAAUGUAAUCUUUUUUCAAUUGUUUCCAUGCCCCAAAAGGCAGAUUACACAUUGUUUUAUAUACACUGAAUGGCACAGCAAAUCAAUUCUUUGUAGCACCAGUUCGUCAUCUGUCUUCAGUGUUGUUUUUGUUUAAAUGGAGUGGCCUCUGGUAGAAUUCAAGGUAAUGAAGUGCAGCAUUUCUUCUGUUUGUUAACUGUAAAUUUAUAUUUAUGCCAUUUCUGUUCUUUUUACAAAAGCAGGAAUGGAAAUUAUAAGGUUGAUGGGAACAUCCUGAAAUUUUCUAUAUAAACUUUUCUUUCUUUUUUCCCUUUUUCUUUUUUUAAAUCUUCAAUCUUUCAAAUCAUCAUUCUGAAAAACAAUGUGAUGAGAAGUGUAGAAUGGAAAUGUUUACUCAAAUGUGUAUGAAGGUCCUUUAGCCACCAGGGAUAUAGUUGUACAUUUAUAGGCUCUAGAUCACUGGAAUGAUAUAUACGGCUUUAAGUGGCAUUGAUAUAUCUAUAUAUAAUAUAUAUAAAUAUAUAUAUUGAUAUUUGUCCAAAAAUAAGAAAAUUAAUGUACUUUAAUUACUUUAUAGCUUACAUUGUGUAUAGCACGUAUGCAAGUCCAUUUUCAUCAUGUUUGAUGUAAUUUUGUAGCAGUGGUUUGAUACUAAUAAAUGGCAGUUGAUGAUGGAGUUCUA